Long non-coding RNA from Mytilus californianus (California mussel), 606 nucleotides. RefSeq lists it as uncharacterized. The record is from RefSeq and is a predicted model, not a curated record. NCBI's taxonomy places the organism in Eukaryota, Metazoa, Mollusca, Bivalvia, Mytilida, Mytilidae. The transcript has 3 exons.
UGUUGUCAGUAUUUUUGCAGCCUUUGGAGCUGUGAUUGUGCUAGUUGUUAUCAUAACUUUUAUUGUUAUGAAGCAGUCAAAAAGACGUGAUCAACAAAGACGAGAUGUCCUAUUCAAUGCAGCCAAUGAGCAGAUAAGUAGGAAUUCCGGACAGCUCAGAGGAAAUCCGGUAUAUAUUGUAGGAGAGAGAGAAACAGAAACAGUCGUUAACUGGACACAUAAUAAUUUGGAUGACAGUUCAGCUAACAACGAAAAUAAUGCACAAGGUUUUAUGCAAAAUUCUCAACCACCACCCUAUUCAGAAUGUAUUGCGUCUCACCAAUCUAGUAAACAACUGUCUGCACCAACUGACUCUGCAUAUCACCCACCGAAUUACUCAAUAACUUCACCACCAUUGUGAUAGAUUUCGAAUUUGCAAGCUCGGAUGACAACAAAAAGUUGAAGAUAUUACAUACACAUUAAUUAUAGACGCACAACGUGCAUUAUUUAUCUAAUAUUGUUUCCCGUUCCUGUGGAUGAAUUUUCAACUCAACACCUUGUAAUCAACAGUCAAUUACCUUUAUCGUAUAAUAACAAUUUAAGUUAUUGAUUUUUUACUCAUAAUAC